GGGGAUUUGGAUAGUUGUGUGUUUAGAGAGAGUUUUCUAUUUUUCCGUUCAAAAAUUAUUUGUUGAGAGGGUUUUCUAUUUUUCCGUUCAAAAAUAGUUUGUUAAGAGGGUUUGCAAUUGUUCGUCCGAAAAUUAUAGUUGAGAAAGGGUUUGCAAUUUUUCGGUCCAAAAAUUGUAAUUGAGAGAGGAUUUACAAUGUUU
Molecule: long non-coding RNA, 201 nt
Filed under: Lathyrus oleraceus (garden pea)
Lineage: Eukaryota; Viridiplantae; Streptophyta; Magnoliopsida; Fabales; Fabaceae
Description: Pisum sativum (pea) long non-coding RNA (PSAT_LNC037225)
Source: RNAcentral